GCCAAAUUGAUGGUUUAUCCCAUUCUUGGUGAAUUUUUUUAAGGUGAAAACAGAAAUUUAAAUCCGGCCGGAUUUUCUCCAAAUCUGGCCGGAAGCCGGAUGCAGGAAAAUUCGUUAAAUCCGGCCGGAAUUCCGGCCGUAUUUGAAAUCCGGUGCACUCCUAGUUAAAUCUAUUUGACAAAUUAAUAUUCUGAAUCCUCAAUUAUGCACCAGUGCGCCACCCUUUCUUAACUUGUUAUGUGUGCACCAGAUGUGCAUAACAGAUUACUAUUGUAAAAUUUUGUGCACCAGAUUGUGCACCGUACAUGUCCGGUGCACAACACUUACAUUGAUUCCAUACUGGCAUAUAGGCUUUAAUAAUAUAGCAGAGUGCCAGAGUAAAAGCAUAUAAAUACUAUUACGGUUCGCAGCCCAUAUUAGCCUGCGCGCAGGCUAAGCCCAUAUAGGCUUUAAUAUAGCAGAGUGCCAGAGUAAAAGCAUAUAAAUACUACAGCAUACUAUUACAUGUUUUUGUCUUUCUGAAUUAGUCAAUCAGGAAGCUUAUGUACGAGUCAAAUCCAACCGCGAUCAGCCCCCCCCCCCCGGGCAACCCCAGGGCAUUUGACUUAACAUUACCGCCGUAUAGGCGGGAAUUUGACGGCCCGGUCGGGCAUUUGAUGGUCCCGUCGGGCAUUUGACCACUUGACAACAACUUGCUCAGCAGUUUUCCCUAAAAAUAUGUGUACACUCUAGCGUUCAGGAGUUUUC
Non-coding RNA from Paramuricea clavata, 747 nucleotides. Lineage: Eukaryota; Metazoa; Cnidaria; Anthozoa; Malacalcyonacea; Plexauridae. The record is from the annotation of a GenBank genome assembly.